CAGGAGAGGAAAAAGAUGAAGCACAAGACGAUCCAGUUGCCAGUGACUCAGAGGUAGUUCUUGAUCUGUGUGGCCGCCGCCUGAAGCGCCUGGAGAAGGCACCUGCCAACCAGGCCUUUGCAACGGCACUUGUCUUGGACAACAACUGCCUCCAAAACCUCUCCAACCUCGACAGCUAUGGGGAACUUGAGAGGGUGAGGGAAUGAUUUUCAUGUGAUUAUUGAUUUUUUUUAUUAUUUAUUUUUUUAUUUAUUCAUUAUUAUUUUUUAUUCAUUAUUAUUAUUUUUUAUUUAUUUAUCAUAUUUUUUGAUAAUGGUAGUAGUAGUAGUAUUGAAGUUAACAUCAUAUUGAUUUUUUUUUUUAAUUAAAAUUAUUUAUAACUGUUGUUACUUUCAUUAUCAUUGAUGCUGAUAUAGCUAAUUGUUGUUAACAUUAAUAAUGUUAUUAUUUUGAUUAUUAUUAUUGAUAUUAAUAUUAAUAGAUAUUUAUUAUUAUUAU
Molecule: long non-coding RNA, 498 nt
Organism: Penaeus indicus
Lineage: Eukaryota; Metazoa; Arthropoda; Malacostraca; Decapoda; Penaeidae
Exons: 2
Source: RefSeq, a predicted model, not a curated record